Molecule: ribosomal RNA, 492 nt
Filed under: uncultured bacterium
Lineage: Bacteria
Description: partial 16S ribosomal RNA
Rfam family: Bacterial small subunit ribosomal RNA
Source: RNAcentral
AGUGAACGCUGGCGGUAGGCCUAACACAUGCAAGUCGAACGGCAGCACAGUAAGAGCUUGCUCUUACGGGUGGCGAGUGGCGGACGGGUGAGGAAUACAUCGGAAUCUACUUUUUCGUGGGGGAUAACGUAGGGAAACUUACGCUAAUACCGCAUACGACCUACGGGUGAAAGCAGGGGAUCUUCGGACCUUGCGCGAUUGAAUGAGCCGAUGUCGGAUUAGCUAGUUGGCGGGGUAAAGGCCCACCAAGGCGACGAUCCGUAGCUGGUCUGAGAGGAUGGUCAGCCACCCUUGAACUGGAGCACGGGCCCGACUCCUAAGGGAGGCAGGAGUGGGGAAAUUUGGACAAUGGGGGCAAACCUGGUCCAACCAUUCCGGGUUGGUUGAAGAAGCCUUCCGGUUUGAAAGCCCUUUUUUUUGGGAAAAAAAGCAGCAGGUUAAUACCCCGCUGUUCUGGCGGUACCCAAAAGAUAAGCACCGGCUAACUUCGUG